CAUCCUCAAAAACCUUCUUUGGUUUCUUGACCAGGAAGGCUUUUGGACUUUGGAGGCUUUUGCUGGCCUUCCUUUGUUGGAGCCAGCUCCUCUGAAAUGAAUUAGUGGGGUCUGCUUUGCCGAUCCUUGACGUGAUAAGAUGCUUUCUACGUCUUGGGUUUCGCACUGGAUCCUGCUUCUAACUGUCUCAUAGAAGACAAUGGUCAAGUGAUUGCCACUUGACCCACAAACC
RNAcentral lists this unclassified non-coding RNA (232 nucleotides) under uncultured Russula. Its description in RNAcentral is "sequence contains ITS2". The record is from RNAcentral. Lineage: Eukaryota; Fungi; Basidiomycota; Agaricomycetes; Russulales; Russulaceae.